Molecule: ribosomal RNA, 1837 nt
Filed under: human gut metagenome
Description: bacterial LSU rRNA
Rfam family: Bacterial large subunit ribosomal RNA
Source: RNAcentral
UUGGCUCAGAAGCAGCCACCAUUUAAAGAGUGCGUAAUAGCUCACUGGUCGAGAGACGCUGCGCCGAAAAUGUCCGGGGCUCAAGCACGGAACCGAAGCUAUGGCAUGAUAGCAAUAUCAUGGGUAGGGGAGCGUUCUUAUAAGGAAGAAGCAUGACCGGAAGGACAUGUGGACAAAUAAGAAGUGAGAAUGCCGGUAUGAGUAUCGAAAAGAAAGGUGAGAAUCCUUUCCACCGAAAGCCCGAGGGUUCCUGAGCAACGAUCGUCGACUCAGGGUAAGUCGGGACCUAAGCCGAGGCGAGAAGCGUAGGCGAUGGACAACAGGUUGAAAUUCCUGUACCGGAUCAAGUCGAUCGAGCGAAGGAGCGACGCAGGAGGGCACAUGAUCGCGCGGCUGGAAGAGCGCGUCCAAGUGCGUAUGUUGCUGCAGAGGAAAACCCCUGCAGCUAAAAGCAGAGACAUGAAGGGGAGUUAAAGGAAACUUUGACGAACUCAUGGAUCCCACACUGCCAAGAAAAACUUCUAGCGAGACAAGAUCCGCCCGUACCGUAAACCGACACAGGUAGGCGGGGAGAGAAUCCUAAGGUGCGCGGGAAAACCCUCGUUAAGGAACUCGGCAAAUUGCAUCCGUAACCUAGGGAGAAGGAUGGCCCCCGGUCAGUGAAGAGCAGAAACGCUCAGAGCUAAAAGGGGCGGCAGAAAAGAGGCCCAAGCAACUGUUUACCAAAAACACAGGUGCCUGCGAAAGCGAAAGCUGAAGUAUAGGUGCUGACGCCUGCCCGGUGCCGGAAGGUUAAGGAGAGAAGUUAGCGAAAGCGAAGCAUCGAACUGAAGCCCCGGUGAACGGCGGCCGUAACUAUAACGGUCCUAAGGUAGCGAAAUUCCUUGUCGGGUAAGUUCCGACCCGCAUGAAAGGCGUAAUGAUUUGGGCACUGUCUCAACGAGGGGCCCGGUGAAAUUGAAAUACCUGUGAAGAUGCAGGUUACCCGCGACUGGACAGAAAGACCCCAUGGAGCUUCACUGCAGCUUGAGAUUGAAUCCCGGUGACAGAUGCACAGGAUAGGUGGGAGGCGCCGAAGCAUUGCCCUAGGGCGGUGCGGAGCCGAUGUUGGGAUACCACCCUUCUGUUGCUGAGAUUCUAACGCGAGGAGUAACGACCCUGCGGACCCUCUCAGGCAGGCGGUUUGACUGGGGCGGUCGCCUCCGAAAGAGUAACGGAGGCGCCCAAAGGUUCCCUCAGGCCGGACAGAAACCGGCCGAAGAGUGCAAAGGCAGAAGGGAGCUUGACUGCGAGACCCACAAGUCGAGCAGAGACGAAAGUCGGGCUUAGUGAUCCGGUGGUACUGAGUGGAAAGGCCAUCGCUCAACGGAUAAAAGCUACCCUGGGGAUAACAGGCUAAUCUCUCCCAAGAGUUCAUAUCGACGGGGAGGUUUGGCACCUCGAUGUCGGCUCAUCACAUCCUGGGGCUGGAGUAGGUCCCAAGGGUUGGGCUGUUCGCCCAUUAAAGUGGUACGCGAGCUGGGUUCAAAACGUCGUGAGACAGUUUGGUUCAUAUCCAUCGCGGGCGCAAGAAGUUUGAGAGGAGCUGCUCCUAGUACGAGAGGACCGGAGUGGACGGAUCAACGGUGUCCCAGUUGUCACGCCAGUGGCACGGCUGGAAAGCCGCAUCCGGGAAGGAUAAACGCUGAAAGCAUCUAAGCGCGAAGCCAACCUCAAGAUGAGACUUCUCAUCAGCAAUGAGUAAGACCCCUUACAGACGAUGAGGUAGAUAGGUUAUGAGUGGAAGAGCCGCAAGGCUUGGAGCGACAUAAAACUAAUAGGUCGAGGUCUUAACUUA